Molecule: ribosomal RNA, 327 nt
Filed under: Triticum aestivum (bread wheat)
Lineage: Eukaryota; Viridiplantae; Streptophyta; Magnoliopsida; Poales; Poaceae
Description: partial small subunit ribosomal RNA
Source: RNAcentral
AUGAUACAAAAUGGGGUCAAGUACCCACAUAAAUUUAUGUGGAAAGUCAAAAUGCCUCCUCCGGUAAAGGUGUUCUUGUGGCUUGCACUAAGAGGAUGCAUCCUCACUAAGGACAACCUAAUCAAAAGGGGAUGGCGUGGUGAUAGUAAGUGCUCCUUUUAUGUUAGGGAAGAAGAUAUUAAUCAUCUCUUUUUCCUCUGUUCUGUUGCCCGGAUGUUGUGGAUGGUUAUGAAAUGCUCAUUUGAUAUGCAUGACAUUCCUGACAAUAUACAAAAUCUAUUUGGGGUCUGGAUCAACUUUUUUGAUAAAAUGAUAGGGAUCUCAUGA